RNAcentral lists this ribosomal RNA (181 nucleotides) under uncultured bacterium. RNAcentral's name for it is "partial 16S ribosomal RNA". It matches the Rfam family "Bacterial small subunit ribosomal RNA", at positions 1321 to 1500 of the family's 1533-position model. The record is from RNAcentral.
CGAAGUUGGAUUCGCUAGUAAUCGCGCAUCAGCCAUGGCGCGGUGAAUACGUUCCCGGGCCUUGUACACACCGCCCGUCACACCAUGGGAGUUGGGAGCACCCGAAGCCGGUGAGUUGACCGCAAGGGGACAGCCGUCGAAGGUGAGACUGAUGACUGGGGUGAAGUCGUAACAAGGUACC